This 680-nucleotide ribosomal RNA is filed under the name uncultured Alphaproteobacteria bacterium. RNAcentral describes it as "bacterial SSU rRNA". It matches the Rfam family "Bacterial small subunit ribosomal RNA", at positions 128 to 843 of the family's 1533-position model. Lineage: Bacteria; Pseudomonadati; Pseudomonadota; Alphaproteobacteria. The record is from RNAcentral.
GCCUUUUGGUUUGGAAUAACACGGGGAAACUUGUGCUAAUACCGAAUAAGCCUUUACAGGGAAAGUUUUAACGCCGAAAGAUGAGCCUGCACUUGAUUAGCUAGUUGGUAAGGUAAAAGCUUACCAAGGCAACGAUCAAUAGCUGUUCUUAGAGGAAGACCAGCCACAUUGGGACUGAGACACGGCCCAGACUCCUACGGGAGGCAGCAGUGGGGAAUCUUGCACAAUGGGGGAAACCCUGAUGCAGCGAUGCCGCGUGAGUGAAGAAGGCCUUUGGGUUGUAAAACUCUUUCGUCGGGGAAGAAAAUGACUGUACCCGAAUAAGAAGGUCCGGCUAACUUCGUGCCAGCAGCCGCGGUAAUACGAAGGGACCUAGCGUAGUUCGGAAUUACUGGGCUUAAAGAGCUCGUAGGUGGUUAAAAAAGUUGAUGGUGAAAUCCCAAGGCUCAACCUUGGAACUGCCAUCAAAACUUUUUAGCUAGAGUGUGAUAGAGGUAAGUGGAAUUUCUAGUGUAGAGGUGAAAUUCGUAGAUAUUAGAAAGAACACCAAAUGCGAAGGCAACUUACUGGGUCACUACUGACACUGAGGAGCGAAAGCAUGGGUAGCGAAGAGGAUUAGAUACCCUCGUAGUCCAUGCCGUAAACGAUGUGUGCUAGACGUUGGAAAUAUAUUUUUUCAG